AACCCUGGUAGUCCACGCUGUAAACGAUGUCGACUUGGAGGUUGUUCCCUUGAGGAGUGGCUUCCGGAGCUAACGCGUUAAGUCGACCGCCUGGGGAGUACGGCCGCAAGGUUAAAACUCAAAUGAAUUGACGGGGGCCCGCACAAGCGGUGGAGCAUGUGGUUUAAUUCGAUGCAACGCGAAGAACCUUACCUACUCUUGACAUCCAGAGAACUUAGCAGAGAUGCUUUGGUGCCUUCGGGAACUCUGAGACAGGUGCUGCAUGGCUGUCGUCAGCUCGUGUUGUGAAAUGUUGGGUUAAGUCCCGCAACGAGCGCAACCCUUAUCCUUUGUUGCCAGCGGUUCGGCCGGGAACUCAAAGGAGACUGCCAGUGAUAAACUGGAGGAAGGUGGGGAUGACGUCAAGUCAUCAUGGCCCUUACGAGUAGGGCUACACACGUGCUACAAUGGCAUAUACAAAGAGAAGCGACCUCGCGAGAGCAAGCGGACCUCAUAAAGUAUGUCGUAGUCCGGAUCGGAGUCUGCAACUCGACUCCGUGAAGUCGGAAUCGCUAGUAAUCGUGGAUCAGAAUGCCACGGUGAAUACGUUCCCGGGCCUUGUACACACCGCCCGUCACACCAUGGGAGUGGGUUGCAAAAGAAGUAGGUAGC
Molecule: ribosomal RNA, 651 nt
Filed under: bacterium LB-178
Lineage: Bacteria
Description: bacterial SSU rRNA
Rfam family: Bacterial small subunit ribosomal RNA
Source: RNAcentral